UGCUGGUCCCUCUAAUUUUUUUCUUUAAAUUUGAUCCUCUAAUUUUAAUCAAUUAAUUUUAGUCCUGCAUUUAUCUUUCAAUCAAAAUAUUAAGGGUUAAGCGUUAUAUUGGUCCCUGUCUUUGUCUCGCUGUCUGAAGUAAGUCCCUCCCCGGAAAAUUUAUUGCAUUGAGUCCUCUUCUUUGAAAUAUUUUUGGGGCAGAUCCUCGCCGGAGGGCGGAGCUCCGGCAAGUGCAUGUGUGGCAUGCUGACUAGGGUUAAUGAAGUGACGUGGCAUUAAAAAAAAUAAAAAAUAAAAAAAAUAAAUUACAAGUCAGAUUUUUAAACCUAAUUAUCCCCUCCCCAAAUUAACACAAAAUUAACUUCAUCUUCACAAAAUCAUCACCCAGAAAUGAGCUUCAUCAUCACCUCCUCCUUCAUCUUCAUCAUCAAAGGACCCAGAUCUCCCCAACCCGCAACCUCACCCCCACCCCCUCACCCCAACCUGAAACCCAUUUUCUUCAUGGAGCCAUCGUGACACAUCCGAGCAUCAUCUUUCAUUCUUCUUCUUCUUCAUUGCGCUCACGCUCAACAAUGAAACCCACAUCUGAGCUUGCCUCUCCCACCCUCAUGGAUCAAUUUUGGGUUUCGCAGAUCUGAGCUUGCCACCAAUUUUCUUCUUCUUCUCUUCAGAUCUUCUUUGAAGAACAAUUUCUUCUCUUCUCCGCUGCAAAGUGUUUCAGAAUCUGUUGUUGUUUGGGGGUGAAGGUGAGGUUGCAAGUGGAUGGGGGUGAGGGUGAGGGUGAGUUUGCAGGUUGGGGUUUGGGGGUGGGGAUGAGGUUGCAGCGGGUUGGGGUUUGGGGGAAGGUGAGGUUGCAAGUUGGGGUUUGGGUUUGAGGAUGAAGUUGCAGAUGUGUGAGGGUGAGGGUGAGGGGUGGGGUUUGGAGUGAGGGUUUGGGGUGAGGUUGCAGGUGGGUGAGGGUGGGGUUGAAGUUGGGUGAGACCGUGAGGGUGAGGUUGAAGGUUGAUGGUUGAUGGUGGGGUUCUGGGUUUGAAGGUUGAUGAAGGUUGAUGGUUGAUGGUUGAUGGUUGAUGGUUGAUGGUGGGGUUCUGGCCUUCUGGAUUUGAAGAUUGAUGGUUGAUGGCAUUUUAAAUCCAGUCAGCAUGCCACACAUGCACUUGCCGGAGCUCCGCCUUCCGGCGAGGAUCUGCCCCAAAAAUAUUUCAAAGAAGAGGACCUAAUGCAAUAAAUUUUCCGGGGAAGGACUUACAUCAGACGGCGAGACAAAGAUAGGUACCAGUAUGACGCUUAACCCAAAUAUUAAGGAUGAAUAUUGACCUGUCGGCUCGGCUGUCGCAGACAUACUUUCCCCCGAAUUAAAAAACGAUCAUCAAGUACUAUUUUAGGGUUUAGGGUUUAGGCACAGAGGAAGAAUUAGAGGAGAACAUCUGAACAACUAAUUAAUCAAAUAAUUACCUGAGUUAAUGCAUUUUGGUUGAUUUAUUUAGCACAUUAGAAAGACUUUGGCGAUAAAGAGAACUAAUGGGUUAACUUUCUGCUUAAUUUGUUGUUCAGUUGUUCUCCUCUUCCUCCAUGACAUAAUAAAACAGAACUUUGACGACCGUUUUUUGAAUUUGGUGGAAAGCAUGUAUGCAACGGGUCAAUAUUCACCCAUAACACCCCCAUAAUUUGCAAGUGGUUUGCUGAGACCAAGACUUGAGUCAGAAGGUUAUAGGUCAACAACUGAUAUAGUUAGUUAAUUUCUCCUUAUAAAUAGGGAGAUGGUUAUUUGUAAACAACAGACAAUUGUAUGUUUGGUUUUCAGUUACCCACGCCCAAAGGACUUUCAACAUGCAUCUAACGCUGUGCCAUUUUGUUUGGCUUUGCAUUCA
Long non-coding RNA from Lotus japonicus, 1871 nucleotides. RefSeq lists it as uncharacterized. The transcript has 3 exons. The record is from RefSeq and is a predicted model, not a curated record. NCBI's taxonomy places the organism in Eukaryota, Viridiplantae, Streptophyta, Magnoliopsida, Fabales, Fabaceae.